RNAcentral lists this ribosomal RNA (467 nucleotides) under uncultured bacterium. Its description in RNAcentral is "partial 16S ribosomal RNA". It matches the Rfam family "Bacterial small subunit ribosomal RNA", at positions 29 to 507 of the family's 1533-position model. The record is from RNAcentral.
AUGAACGCUGGCGGCGUGCUUAACACCUGCCAGUCGAACGGUGAAGGCGGAGCUUGCUCUGCUGGAUCAGUGGCGAACGGGUGAGUAACACGUGAGCAAUCUGCCCCUGACUCUGGGAUAAGCGCUGGAAACGGCGUCUAAUACUGGAUACGAGCUGCGAAGGCAUCUUCAGCAGCUGGAAAGAACUUCGGUCAGGGAUGAGCUCGCGGCCUAUCAGCUUGUUGGUGAGGUAACGGCUCACCAAGGCGUCGACGGGUAGCCGGCCUGAGAGGGUGACCGGCCACACUGGGACUGAGACACGGCCCAGACUCCUACGGGAGGCAGCAGUGGGGAAUAUUGCACAAUGGGCGAAAGCCUGAUGCAGCAACGCCGCGUGAGGGACGACGGCCUUCGGGUUGUAAACCUCUUUUAGCAGGGAAGAAGCGAAAGUGACGGUACCUGCAGAAAAAGCGCCGGCUAACUACGUG